RNAcentral lists this unclassified non-coding RNA (281 nucleotides) under Cadophora sp. Its description in RNAcentral is "partial contains 5.8S ribosomal RNA, internal transcribed spacer 2, and large subunit ribosomal RNA". The stretch from base 1 to 71 matches the Rfam family "5.8S ribosomal RNA", at positions 84 to 154 of the family's 154-position model. The record is from RNAcentral. Lineage: Eukaryota; Fungi; Ascomycota; Leotiomycetes; Helotiales; Ploettnerulaceae.
GUGAAUCAUCGAAUCUUUGAACGCACAUUGCGCCCCUUGGUAUUCCGAGGGGCAUGCCUGUUCGAGCGUCAUUACACCCCUCAAGCACUGCUUGGUCUUGGGCUCCGCCGCUCACCCGGCGGGCCUCAAAACGAGUGGCGGCGCCAUCAGGCUCUGAGCGUAGUAAAUUUCCUCGCUACGGAGUCCUGGUGGACGCUGGCCAUCAACCCCCAACUUUCUAAGUUUGACCUCGGAUCAGGUAGGGAUACCCGCUGAACUUAAGCAUAUCAAUAAGCGGAGGA